GAUGAACGCUGGCGGCGUGCCUAAUACAUGCAAGUCGAGCGAACAGACGAGAGUGCUUGCACUCUCUGACGUUAGCGGCGGACGGGUGAGUAACACGUGGGUAACCUACCUAUAAGACUGGGAUAACUUCGGGAAACCGGAGCUAAUACCGGAUAAUAUUUAGCUUCGCAUGAAGCAAUAGUGAAAGACGGUUCUGCUGUCACUUAUAGAUGGACCCGCGGUGUAUUAGCUAGUUGGUGAGGUAACGGCUCACCAAGGCAACGAUACAUAGCCGACCUGAGAGGGUGAUCGGCCACACUGGGACUGAGGCACGGCCCAGACUCCUACGGGAGGCAGCAGUAGGGAAUCUUCCGCAAUGGACGAAAGUCUGACGGAGCAAUGCCGCGUGAGUGAAGAAGGUUUUCGGAUCGUAAAACUCUGUUGUAAGGGAAGAACAAGUACGUUAGUAACUGAACGUACCUUGACGGUACCUUACCAGAAAGCCACGGCUAACUACGUG
RNAcentral lists this ribosomal RNA (499 nucleotides) under uncultured bacterium. Its description in RNAcentral is "partial 16S ribosomal RNA". It matches the Rfam family "Bacterial small subunit ribosomal RNA", at positions 28 to 507 of the family's 1533-position model. The record is from RNAcentral.